This 472-nucleotide ribosomal RNA is filed under the name uncultured Anaerolineaceae bacterium. Its description in RNAcentral is "bacterial SSU rRNA". It matches the Rfam family "Bacterial small subunit ribosomal RNA", at positions 898 to 1382 of the family's 1533-position model. Lineage: Bacteria; Bacillati; Chloroflexota; Anaerolineae; Anaerolineales; Anaerolineaceae. The record is from RNAcentral.
AACUUAAAGGUAAUUGACGGGGGCCCGCACAAGCAGCGGAGCGUGUGGUUUAAUUCGAUGUUACACGAAGAACCUUACCCAGGUUUGACAUACAGGUGGUAGUGAUCCGAAAGGUGAGCGACCCGCAAGGGAGCCUGAACAGGUGCUGCAUGGCUGUCGUCAGCUCGUGUCGUGAGAUGUUCGGUUAAGUCCGCUAACGAGCGCAACCCUCGCUGUGUGUUACAAGUGUCACACGGGACCGCCGGUAUCAAGCCGGAGGAAGGUGGGGAUGACGUCAAGUCAGCAUGGCCUUUAUGACCAGGGCUACACACGUACUACAAUGGCAGGUACAAAGGGCAGCCACUUAGCGAUAAGGAGCGAAUCCCGUAAAACCUGUCUCAGUCCGGAUUGGAGUCUGCAACUCGACUCCAUGAAGUUGGAAUCGCUAGUAAUCGCAGAUCAGCACGCUGCGGUGAAUACGUUCCCGGGCCUU